RNAcentral lists this ribosomal RNA (327 nucleotides) under Triticum aestivum (bread wheat). Its description in RNAcentral is "partial small subunit ribosomal RNA". Lineage: Eukaryota; Viridiplantae; Streptophyta; Magnoliopsida; Poales; Poaceae. The record is from RNAcentral.
AUGUCUGACCAGAGCGAUUGCCAGAACAAAUCAGAAGAGCAAGUGCACAUGAGUGAGGGCACUAGUCCCUCAAGCAGCUAUGAUGAUGGCAACAGGAGCACUCCAAGCAAUUUGCCCAAGGCAGCCACCAGAUCAAGGAAGAAGAAAACCUUAGAUUAUGAGGAUGAGGACUAUGUGGCUGUGGAGGAGGAAGUAAGCUCCAAAAAGGAAGUGUUGAAGAAGGAAUAUGGUACUGCUGCUUGCUACCUCUUGAGCAUGUGUUGGUUUUCCCUUGAAGAGGAAAGGGUGAUGCAGCAAAGUAGCAUAAGUAUUUCCCUCAGUUUUUGA